CCUCAUUGCCAUACCAGCUUGUCAAAGCCUGAUCUCAUCAGAGCUCAGAAGCAAAGCAAGCCCAGGCCUGGUUAAUACUAGGAUGUCAGACCUCUGAGAAUAUCAGGUGCCACAGUGGGGU
Molecule: ribosomal RNA, 121 nt
Filed under: Periophthalmus magnuspinnatus
Lineage: Eukaryota; Metazoa; Chordata; Actinopteri; Gobiiformes; Gobiidae
Source: RNAcentral